Molecule: long non-coding RNA, 2242 nt
Organism: Bos taurus (domestic cattle)
Lineage: Eukaryota; Metazoa; Chordata; Mammalia; Artiodactyla; Bovidae
Source: Ensembl
GGCAAGGGGCAGCGGGCAGAGUUCAGUCCUUGGGUGUCCGGCCCCGAAGCCCACCUCCCUCUCAGCAGGGGCACUGCCUCUGGACACGUGCAGGUACGAAGGCAGCCGGCACAGCCAAGCCCUUGUCUCGGGGCUCCCACCUGCCGAGACCAGCCAGCAGGUCGACCUUCCUGCUCACCCUCCGAUCUCUUCCGGCUCAGUCUGGGUUUGACCUCAGCCUCUCCUGUUGCAGUUUAAAUUGGAGCCUGUGUGCAAGUCCCCCUUCAUGGCCGGGGGCUGGGGGUGCAGGGUAGUUGGCCUUCACAGCCCAGCUCCACGCUAUUUGCCCCCCUGGCGGGGACAUCACAAGCCAGACGGAGGACGUUCCCAGCACCGUGCCCUGGUCCGCGCCCCGCAGACCCUGGCCGGGGCACUCCCCAUUAGAUUAAACGGCAUUUACGGCAGCUGUCCUGCGGUAUUAAUGUCAGAUUUCCACGCUGUGCUCCUCCCCCGACUCCACUGCCCUGGCCCCUGCCAGCCAGCAGACCAAGUGACCUCUGGGCUCUUCUGAACCCUGGGCUGGCUUCGGUCAGAGGCUCUGCCACGUCCCAGAUGGCCGUCACCGAUGCCUGUGUCUCCUGUCUCCCCGGGGACAGACACGGCUUCCCACAGGCUUACUCGAAGCGGACGGCACGAGUUCAUUCCAUCGUCUUUGCUGAGCACCUUCUAGGCGCAUGAGCGGUGGAAGUGAUGGCAGUGAAUGUAUUAGAUAAACAAACAGAUACCCCAAACCCUGUCUGGCUGGAGCGGAUAGUUGAACAGCAACCGCAGAACUGAUAAUGUGUCUGGGGUGCCUGGUAUGUUGGAGCCACAGUGAAACUGGAGAGGAAGAUGAACGCGAGCUUCAGACGUGAUACCCAGAGGCAGGCUCUCUGAUGCCUGACCUGCAGCCUCUGCGUGUGGGCAUCUUGCAGGAGCAUCACUCACCUGGGAUGUCAGGGCACACAGGCCUGAAGCUGUCUCCUGGGAACUGGCUUCCCUUCACCUCCGAGGCACUCCCCCGAGUCCCCAUCGCCCCGCCAGGCAGGGAAAGGGCGCCUCAGUCUCCCCCACCACCUCCACAGCUGUGCCCAUUCUCCACGGCACACUCUUCCACAUCCCCGAGAGAUGGAGCGUCUCUGGCAGCCCCGCCAGGCUACCGUCCCCUCACUCCAGGCCCAGAACUGGCCUGGCUUCCUGGACGGCAGCUGGCAGGGGCUCAGGGGCAGGGGGAUGAAAGAGACCCGAGUGAGUCCUCGGAGACCCCAGCCUGCCUCCCCAGGCCCUGAGGCAGCUGUGCUCAAACCUGGCACAGCUGGGGUCUAUGGGGCUGCUGUCUGAUACACCCUCCUGCCCCGGGAAACACCCGUCUUCUCCCACCGGACCCUUCAUGGUCUGACUGGUCCCUGUCACUGGACUGCAUGGGAAAGCAGCCUGGAAUCCCUAAAACAGAGGUUUCCGGGGUGCAGACAGCAGAACCACAGGGAGGCACCUGAUGCAGGGCCGUCUUUGGGCACAUCCGUGCGCCGCGGCUGACAGGGAAGCACAGCAGCCCAGUGGGGGCUUCCCCGGUGGCUCAGCGGUAAAGAAGCCAACACAGGAGACCCAGCUUCGAUCCCCGGGUCGGGAAGAUUCCCCUGGAGGAGGAAAGGGCAACCCCCUCCAGUGUUCCUGCCUGGGAGACCCCACGGACAGGGGAGAUGGGCGGGCUACAGUCCAUGGGGUCGCAGAGAGUCGGACACAACUGAGCAACAUUAGAGCAGAGGUGGAUGGUGACCCGGCCCCCGGGACACGCCGGAUAAAACGCCCUGAGAAGCACCGUCUGGGACAUCCUGGCCCAUAACGCCGCACCUUCUUCAAGAGAUUCGUGCUGGAGGUCAGUCAGCAAAGAAAUUGACGGGCAUGCUCUUAAAACAUAAACCCAGUGACAAAAGCCCCAAGACGAGCCCCAGGUUGGUAGAGACAAAGGCUGCUCUAAGACAUCUGAACACACCAGGGCUGGAACGGUUCUUCAAAAACCAAGACACUCAGAAGUUGCAACUCAGCUCAGCGUUCUCCCCUCCUGCUAAGAUCCCCCUAAAAUAUCUGAGGAGAAGAGAGGAGAGGAGAUGGUUUUCCCAGCUUCGGGCCACCCUGGAGGGGUAUGAGUCAGCUGUGACGGGACAAAGCUUCUGUCCGGUACCGAGAUGAACCGCUGGCUGGCUGACUUCCGGGCUCCCUCUCA